GGUAAUCUGCUGUGGUCUUUUUCCACGGUUUGGAAGCUUUAUUUUUUUGCUCUUUGCAAUAAAUAUUGUUGCUGCUAAUUCUUUGAGUCCACACUGCUUUUGUGAGUUGUAGCACUCACCCGAAGGUUUGCAGCUUCACUCCUGAAGCCAGUGAGACCACGAACCCAACGAGAGGAACGAAGAAUUCCAGACGCGCUGCAUUAAGAGCUGUAACACUCACUGCGAAGGUCUGCAGCUUCACUUUUGAAGCCAGCAAGACCACGAACCCAUCAGAAGGAAGAAACUCCAAACACAUCCGAGCAGCAGAAGGAACAAACUCCGGACACGCUGCCUUUAAGAACUGUGACACUCAGAGCGAGGGUCUGCGGCAUCACAUUUGAAGUCAGUGAGACCAAGAACCCACCGAUUCCGGACGCGAGCAGGUUGCUUCAGGGUAUAGACAUUUGGCACAGUACUGCAGCAUAAACCCAUCAAGAUUAAGGAAACCAUGGGGGCCGAGCAUGGUGGUUCACACCUGUAAUCCCAGCACUUUGGAAGGUUGAGGUUAGAAUUCCAAUGCAGCACUGAGUAGAACUGAGGAUUAUGUAACAUCUUAUUAUGCCUGAUUUUUAAAA
Molecule: long non-coding RNA, 614 nt
Filed under: Homo sapiens (human)
Lineage: Eukaryota; Metazoa; Chordata; Mammalia; Primates; Hominidae
Description: HSALNT0331980
Source: RNAcentral